CUUAUGGGUGAGGAAAAAAAGAUCCCAACGCAUUCGGAGUAGGAUGCGGAAUACAAUGUCUUUACAAGUUACUGGAUCGAUUGGCAAAAAUAAAAUUAACCUAGAAAGGUUGUUUGAAGAGUAUACCGGAAAAGAGAACAAUCUGGAAGAUAAGUUGUUUAAAGAUUUCGACGCAGGUUGCUCCUCCCUCAAGGACACAAAUAAGUGUGAAUUAGGCUUUAAGUAGAAUUGUGUUACGUAAUGCCAUGCCUAUGUUGCCAUGAGGUAACUAGUGCGGAAAUAAUGACAUUAAAUAUAUUAAUGGAAAUUUACUUUACCUAAAUAUCCAUGAAAAAACUUUCUAUAAAAGCCAUUGUACUCCACAAAGCUUAAAUUAGAAAAAUGUUAUAUUUUCAAUUACUAACUUUCUUUGUGAUAUUUGCUUCCGUUCGGACUUAUAAUCCAGAAAUCAUACCAGGGUUGACUGAGGCUGAACAAAAGGAAUAUAACAUAUGCCGUACAAGUGAGGAAAAAAAAAAUUCAGUCGAACUAGGAGUGGGAUGCGGAAUACAAUGUUUUUUGCGAGUUACUGGAUCGAUUGGCAAAAAUAAAAUUAACCU
Molecule: long non-coding RNA, 599 nt
Organism: Drosophila ananassae
Lineage: Eukaryota; Metazoa; Arthropoda; Insecta; Diptera; Drosophilidae
Exons: 2
Source: RefSeq, a predicted model, not a curated record